RNAcentral lists this unclassified non-coding RNA (29 nucleotides) under Dictyostelium discoideum. The record is from RNAcentral. Lineage: Eukaryota; Evosea; Eumycetozoa; Dictyosteliales; Dictyosteliaceae.
GAUUCCUUAGCAUAGUGGUUUAUUGUAAC